This 538-nucleotide ribosomal RNA is filed under the name uncultured bacterium. RNAcentral describes it as "bacterial SSU rRNA". It matches the Rfam family "Bacterial small subunit ribosomal RNA", at positions 94 to 630 of the family's 1533-position model. The record is from RNAcentral.
AGUGGCGCACGGGUGCGUAACACGUAUGUAACCUACCUUUGUCAGGGGGAUAGCCUCUCGAAAGAGAGAUUAAGCCCGCAUAACAUUGCGACAUAGCAUUAUGAUGCAAUCAAAUAUUUAUAGGACAAAGAUGGGCAUGCGGAACAUUAGCUAGUUGGUAAGGUAACGGCUUACCAAGGCUACGAUGUUUAGGGGAUCUGAGAGGAUGACCCCCCACACUGGUACUGAGACACGGACCAGACUCCUACGGGAGGCAGCAGUAAGGAAUAUUGGUCAAUGGGCGGAAGCCUGAACCAGCCAUGCCGCGUGCAGGAAGACGGCCCUACGGGUUGUAAACUGCUUUUGUACCGGAAUAAACCCCCGAUCGUGAUCGGGGCUGAAUGUACGGUAAGAAUAAGGAUCGGCUAACUCCGUGCCAGCAGCCGCGGUAAUACGGAGGAUCCGAGCGUUAUCCGGAUUUAUUGGGUUUAAAGGGUGCGUAGGCGGCCAUUUAAGUCAGGGGUGAAAGACGGCAGCUCAACUGUCGCAGUGCCUUUGA